Molecule: ribosomal RNA, 253 nt
Filed under: uncultured bacterium
Lineage: Bacteria
Description: partial 16S ribosomal RNA
Rfam family: Bacterial small subunit ribosomal RNA
Source: RNAcentral
UACAGGGGGGGCAAGCGUUGUUCGGAAUUACUGGGCGUAAAGGGCGCGUAGGCGGCCCGCUAAGUCGAACGUGAAAUCCCCGGGCUCAACCCGGGAACUGCGUCCGAUACUGGUGGGCUCGAAUCCGGGAGAGGGAUGCGGAAUUCCAGGUGUAGCGGUGAAAUGCGUAGAUAUCUGGAGGAACACCGGUGGCGAAGGCGGCAUCCUGGACCGGUAUUGACGCUGAGGCGCGAAAGCCAGGGGAGCAAACGGG